Molecule: ribosomal RNA, 116 nt
Filed under: Pteropus alecto (black flying fox)
Lineage: Eukaryota; Metazoa; Chordata; Mammalia; Chiroptera; Pteropodidae
Source: RNAcentral
GUCUAUGGCCGUGCCACCCUGAACGAGCCUGAUGUCUGAUCUCAGAAGCUAAGCAGGCUUGAGCCUGGCUAAUACUUGGAUGGGAGACCACCUAGGAAUACCAGCUGCUGUAGUCA